CCCUUAGAUGUUCUGGGCCGCACGCGUGCUACACUGAUGCAUUCAACGAGUCUAAAACCUGGUCUGAUAGGGCUGGGUAAUCUUUUGAAAGUGCAUCGUGAUUGGGAUAGAUGAUUGCAAUUCUUCAUCUUCAACGAGGAAUGCCUAGUAAACGCAAGUCAUCAGCUUGCAUUGAUUACGUCCCUGCCCUUUGUACACACCGCCCGUCGCUCCUACCGAUUGAAUGAUCCGAUGAAUAUCAUGGAUUGAGGAUGCAAGCAGGUUCGCCUGUCUUCAUCUUCGAGAAGUGAAGUAAAUCUUAUCAUUUAGAGGAAGGAGAAGUCGUAACA
RNAcentral lists this ribosomal RNA (329 nucleotides) under uncultured eukaryote. RNAcentral's name for it is "partial 18S ribosomal RNA". It matches the Rfam family "Eukaryotic small subunit ribosomal RNA", at positions 1470 to 1796 of the family's 1831-position model. The record is from RNAcentral.